RNAcentral lists this ribosomal RNA (1006 nucleotides) under Acinetobacter baumannii. Its description in RNAcentral is "bacterial LSU rRNA". It matches the Rfam family "Bacterial large subunit ribosomal RNA", at positions 160 to 1217 of the family's 2925-position model. The record is from RNAcentral. Lineage: Bacteria; Pseudomonadati; Pseudomonadota; Gammaproteobacteria; Moraxellales; Moraxellaceae.
UGAUACAUAGUGUUGCAGGCGAACGAGGGGAAGUGAAACAUCUCAGUACCCUUAGGAAAAGAAAUCAAUUGAGAUUCCCUUAGUAGCGGCGAGCGAACGGGGAUCAGCCCAUUAAGUUAUGUGUGUUUUAGUGGAACGCUCUGGGAAGUGCGAACGUAGAGGGUGAUAUUCCCGUACACGAAAGGGCACACAUAAUGAUGACGAGUAGGGCGAGGCACGUGAAACCUUGUCUGAAUAUGGGGGGACCAUCCUCCAAGGCUAAAUACUCCUGACUGACCGAUAGUGAACCAGUACCGUGAGGGAAAGGCGAAAAGAACCCCUGUGAGGGGAGUGAAAUAGAUCCUGAAACCGCAUGCAUACAAGCAGUGGGAGCCGACUUGUUCGGUGACUGCGUACCUUUUGUAUAAUGGGUCAGCGACUUAUAUUCAGUAGCGAGGUUAACCGUAUAGGGGAGCCGUAGAGAAAUCGAGUCUUAAUAGGGCGUUUAGUUGCUGGGUAUAGACCCGAAACCAGGCGAUCUAUCCAUGAGCAGGUUGAAGGUUGGGUAACACUAACUGGAGGACCGAACCCACUGUCGUUGAAAAGCCAGGGGAUGACUUGUGGAUAGGGGUGAAAGGCUAAUCAAGCCUGGUGAUAGCUGGUUCUCCCCGAAAGCUAUUUAGGUAGCGCCUCGGACGAAUACCAUAGGGGGUAGAGCACUGUUUCGGCUAGGGGGUCAUCCCGACUUACCAAACCGAUGCAACUCCGAAUACCUAUGAGUACUAUCCGGGAGACAGACUGCGGGUGCUAACGUCCGUAGUCAAGAGGAAAACAAUCCAGACCGCCAGCUAAGGCCCCAAAAUCAUAGUUAAGUGGGAAACGAUGUGGGAAGGCAUAGACAGCUAGGAGGUUGGCUUAGAAGCAGCCACCCUUUAAAGAAAGCGUAAUAGCUCACUAGUCGAGUCGGCCUGCGCGGAAGAUGUAACGGGGCUAAAACUAUGUGCCGAAGCUGCGGAUUUGACUUUUA